RNAcentral lists this unclassified non-coding RNA (421 nucleotides) under Melitaea cinxia (Glanville fritillary). Its description in RNAcentral is "misc RNA ENSMCXG00005021341.1". Lineage: Eukaryota; Metazoa; Arthropoda; Insecta; Lepidoptera; Nymphalidae. The record is from RNAcentral.
CUUUUGGGGUUAAAACGGGGGAUGGUAGGUUGACUCACUCAUCAUGAAAUCUCCGCAACUAAAACAGCCACAAACUUGAAAUCUGGCAGGUAGGUUCCUUAUAGGGCGUAGACAUCCGUUAAUACCGAGUUUUAUGAAACUCGGCCCCUAAGGGAGUAAAACGGGAGUUGGAAGUUUGUAUGAAAGUGCUAUGUUUUUGAAGUAAGAGACUUUAAAUUUAAAAUGCAUGCUCUAUAAAUGGUGAGAAGGUGUCCAAAUAAUCUAUCUUUAGAAAUCCACUCCCUUUUGGGGUUAAAACGGGUGAUGGUAGGUUGACUCACUCAUCACGAAAUCUCCGAAACUAUAACAGCUACAAACUUGAAAUUUGGCAGAUAGGUUCCUUAUAGAGCGUAACCAUCCGCUAAGAACAAAUUUUACGAAA